This 844-nucleotide ribosomal RNA is filed under the name Adelophryne sp. 7 AF-2012. RNAcentral describes it as "partial 16S ribosomal RNA". It matches the Rfam family "Bacterial large subunit ribosomal RNA", at positions 1508 to 2599 of the family's 2925-position model. The record is from RNAcentral. Lineage: Eukaryota; Metazoa; Chordata; Amphibia; Anura; Eleutherodactylidae.
GCGUCACAGCUAAACAAUUCCUAUACUAUAAUUCCUAACAAACAAAACCCUUUAACACUACCGAGUUACUCUAUACACCUAUAGAAUCAUUUAUGUUAAGACUAGUAGCAAGAAACAACCUUCUCUUCCAAUGUAAGUGUAAAUAAAACUUCCCACAAAUUUAACAUCCUGAACAAAAUGUAAUAACUACACAAGAAAAUACUACUAAACACACUGUUAAUCUUACACAAGAACAUUUCAAGAAAGAUUCUAAGAAAAAGAAGGAACUCGGCAAACCCCGAUUCCGCCUGUUUACCAAAAACAUCGCCUCUUGAAAAUAUAAGAGGUCCUGUCUGCCCAGUGACCCUGUUCAACGGCCGCGGUAUUUUGACCGUGCAAAGGUAGCGUAAUCACUUGUUUUUUAAUUUAAGACCUGUAUGAAAGACCUCACGAGAAUCGCACUGUCUCCUUUUUCUAAUCAGCGAAACUAAUCUUCUCGUGAAAAAACGAGAAUCACCCUAUAAGACGAAAAGACCCUGUGGAGCUUCAAACAACAUAACAGCUAAUAUUCUUCCUAAACCCAUAGCAUGAUUAUAAGUUUUUGGUUGGGGUGACCUCGGAGAAAAAUUUAUCCUCCGAAAUGAUACAGAAUAUUCCUUAAUGUGGAAUCACAACUCUACAUAUCAGUAUACUGACAUAAAUUGACCCUUCUUGAUCAACGAACCAAGUUACCCCAGGGAUAACAGCGCAAUCUACUUCAGGAGUACCUAUCGACAAGCAGGUUUACGACCUCGAUGUUGGAUCAGGGUAUCCCAGUGGUGCAGCCGCUACUAAAGGUUCGUUUGUUCAACGAUUAAAACCCUAC